AAUAUGAAGAAGAAUCAAUGACAAAGAUGAACACAAUCAGAACAUAAUUUUGUUGAGUUUCAAAAUAUUGAUUUCAACACUAUUUUAGGGUUAUUGUUAGCAAUGAUGAUAGCUGAAGAUUCGUUACAUCACUCCCAAUCUUCCAAUCCGAUUUUCCUCCUGAGGUGACAGAUCUGUCACCGACGCCGGUGCGCAAGUGCUUGAAGAACAGCAACCUCUGCCAUCUUCGACGAUACUGUCACUGAAUCAAAAUCAAUCUCAUUUCUUUUUCUUAUCAAUCCACAAGUAAUUUUUUGAACUUUGCAUUUCUCUAUUAAAAUUAUUAUUUUCUAUAUGUAAUAUUUUCUAUUAUAAUUUUGAUGCUAAAAUUGAAAUUGGUUUAAUAUUUGUUAUCUAGUAUAUUGUUUUAUAAAUCGUUUGUUAUCUGACAAAUGAUUUGAUACAAUUCUACAUAUUUUGUUAGCAUAUACCAAAGUCUUGUCGUUAAUUGAUACAUGAUUGGUGUAGCUGAUAAAUAUUUUGAUAAAUGGUUUACUAGCUUAUACAUUUUUUUGAUUCUUGGUUUGUUUUGCUGACAAAUGGAUUGAUACUUGGUGUGAGUAAAUAUGUUGUUUGUUAAAUGAUUUGUUAUCUUAUACAUGUUUUGUUAUGCGGUAUAUGUUUUGUUAGGUGACACGAAGUUUGAUAUCAAUGAAUGAGUAAAAGAAAAGAUUCAAAAAUUUGAAAAAUGGUGGCAAUGAUAGGGAUAAAAAACAGGAGGAAAGAGAAUUGAGAAGUAUGAAAGAAAAGAGGAAAAAGAAUGAAAAAGUGUAAGAGGGAAAAAUAGUGUAUCAAUGUGUAUCAUGUUUAACAUACAACAUGUUUUGAUAUAUUGUGGUAUCAAGUAUCAUCUAAAAGAAUGAAAAAUAUUAUUAUUUUAACAUACAACAUGUUUUGAUAUACCAAAAAAUAUAUUAAUUAACAAAUCAUCUAUCAAACAAUGUAUCAGUUAUAAAAAUAUGUAUCAACUAACAAAUUAUGUAUCUACAACAAACAAGGUUAUUUCAUAAGUUUAGUUUCUAACAAAUAAGUUAACCACUAACAAUUAAUUUAACACUAAUAUUAAAAUUUAGUACGAAUUGUAUAUUUCAAAGAUAUUGAGAUCUUGCAAUCAAUUGUUAUCUCUGAUUUACAUAAAUGAUAAUCUUUGUAUAAAAUUAUGAGUGAUUUUAACUUCAUAACAUAACUAUUAUCUGAUAAUUAUAUAAUUAGAUGUUAUAUGGUUUGUUAGCGAUAUGAUAAUUCAUUUCGUUGAGAGAUUCUAAAAUUUAAAAUUUUAUAAUUAAAUUUUUAUUUAUGUAAAUUUGUCUGACUACAUGUCAGUUUAUUUGCCAGGUCUAUUCUGCUAAAUUUUCUUUUAGUUAACAUGUGCGUGAGAUGCACUCUCUUGUAUCAACACAAAAAUCGGAGAAAAUGAGUGGCUCACAACAGUUCAAACAUCAUACCUAUAUCCAGCAAGAGUCUCCUAACAAAUCUGCCAGAGGAUCUUUACCUCUCUGACUCCUCUGUCCAUCAACAUCAAACGUAAGGGCUUUUUUGUCCAAGGAGGAACCGAAAUGUAUUGGAUGUGUCUUAUAUGUCAAUCAAAUGGCAAACCUCCAAUUUGGAUCCGUUCUAAGGGUAUUUGCCUAAUUCUCCCUAUAUAUAAUGCCAAGAAGAGAAUUUCCUAUUGGAUGAUGUUGGGUGUACAAAAUUACAAAUUGGUCCUUCCUCAUUGUAUGUCUUCAUUGUAUAUCCUCUCUGAUAUUCUUCUUCUCAAACCAAGUAUCACCGGUGGGCGAAAACUACUAUGCCUGGUUAGCUUCGAAGUCUGGUGACUAUAACACUAAAUCAGGACACUUUGUGGCUACGUCUCUCCAUAACUCUCCCGUGGGGAUCGACUCCCAACUCUCCUAGGACUCUUCGACUUCGACUACGUUGGAGUGGCAGAAGCAUGUGUGGUCGGGAACUUGUGCACCAAAACUGAAGGUGUUUAUGUGGAAAAUCCUACAAGGAGCCCUCCCAAUAGGCGAGAAUCUUAGGAAGCAUGGCAUGUUACUCAAUAUUGCGUGUUGUAGAUGUGGAGAACUUGAAACAGUUGACCAUCUCUUCUUACACUGCACCUUUGAGAAGGAGCAUGGAAGCAGGGAUCGCCAAUGGCAUGAUGCGGAUGGUCCUUUCAAUCUCCCCAAGGACGUAUUCUGCUUAAUGUCUCUUGCACUCACCUCAACGUCAAAUCGCCUCUACAAGCGGAAGCACUGGCCGUUCGGGAAGUCAUCCUCAAAGCCAAGUCUCUCGGUUACUUAAACAUCUCUCUUAAAUCAGACUGUCAAGGGCUGCUUGCAGCUAUCAACUCGAAGUUCCCUCCGGCUGAGCUCUUCGGAAUUAUCCGGGACAUUGAGAAUCUAUCUAUUUCAUUUACCGCAUGUUCCUUUAUGUUUGGUUCUCGUUCCUCUAACUCCUUGGCUGAUUCUUUAGCCAAGAGAGCCCUGAGCCCUCUGUAAUGGACUCGUCCAAAAACUAGCUUUCCACUUUUAAUACAAUGAAUGUGUUCAAAAAAAAAAAUGAAUACUACACUUUUGCUUUACAAUUUUAUUAUACUCUUCACUA
Brassica napus (rape) is the source of this 2628-nucleotide long non-coding RNA. RefSeq lists it as uncharacterized. NCBI's taxonomy places the organism in Eukaryota, Viridiplantae, Streptophyta, Magnoliopsida, Brassicales, Brassicaceae. The transcript is spliced from 2 exons. The record is from RefSeq and is a predicted model, not a curated record.